GAUGAAGAACGCAGCGAAAUGCGAUAAGUAGUGUGAAUUGCAGAAUUCAGUGAAUCAUCGAAUCUUUGAACGCACAUUGCGCCCUUUGGUAUUCCAAAGGGCAUGCCUGUUCGAGCGUCAUUUGUACCCUCAAGCUUUGCUUGGUGUUGGGCGUCUUGUCUCUAGCUUUGCUGGAGACUCGCCUUAAAGUAAUUGGCAGCCGGCCUACUGGUUUCGGAGCGCAGCACAAGUCGCACUCUCUAUCAGCAAAGGUCUAGCAUCCAUUAAGCCUUUUUUUCAACUUUUGACCUCGGAUCAGGUAGGGAUACCCGCUGAACUUUAGCAUAUCAAUAAGCGGAGGA
This 341-nucleotide unclassified non-coding RNA is filed under the name soil metagenome. RNAcentral describes it as "partial contains 5.8S ribosomal RNA, internal transcribed spacer 2, and large subunit ribosomal RNA". The stretch from base 1 to 120 matches the Rfam family "5.8S ribosomal RNA", at positions 35 to 154 of the family's 154-position model. The record is from RNAcentral.